This 45-nucleotide non-coding RNA is filed under the name Schistosoma mansoni. Lineage: Eukaryota; Metazoa; Platyhelminthes; Trematoda; Strigeidida; Schistosomatidae. The record is from RNAcentral.
AUCCAGCUGACGAGUCCCAAAUGGGACGAAACGCACGUCCUGGUU